UUCUCUAUUGCUGCAAAGUCUCAGUGUGGACAUCUGGUGUUAUUGCGCCAGGCUGUUUCUCUUGGAGGUGGUGCAGGAGGUUGAGGAAAGCACCUCUGAUGAGCAGAUAGCUGGAGGCUGUUCCCACAGUCAUGUCUCAGCGAAGAAGUCGGAGUCCAGCAGCCAUCAGAACCAAGGUAUGUGUGGUGAUCUUCGGAAUGCCACUCCAAAUCCUUUGCACUUUCUUUUGCACACAGCAGGAGUUGUAAAAGAAUGCUUCCUUUUAUUAUUAACACUGAGAAUCCAUGCAGAGAGUUUACACUAAACACAUGAAUAAAUUGUGUUUUAGAAGGCUGGGUGCCCUCAGUCCCCAGAUCUUUGAAUUCUACCAUUAAGUUCAGGUAGGUUUUUGGAGACAGAGAUUGGCUGCAUCAUAUCUGUGACACUGACUCUUCUGGUGUAGGUUUGCUUGGCCAGGGAGUCUGAGUGCAGCCCCUGAUCAGUGCUUCAUGCCAAUCUGUGAGUCUGUUCCAGGAACUAGAGGAGAGAGAGCCUUAGCCUUGCCUGCAACCAGAUGAAUGGUUAGCUUUAGUGGUGAACACUUUGCUUUUUGAAUAGUGUGGCUGGCUGGCAGCUCUUGUCAUUGUUUAUCUCUCAAUUUAACAAACCAAGCUGAAGCCUGAGCACAGCUACAACCUUGUCC
Molecule: long non-coding RNA, 682 nt
Filed under: Pan troglodytes (chimpanzee)
Lineage: Eukaryota; Metazoa; Chordata; Mammalia; Primates; Hominidae
Description: long non-coding RNA NONPTRT007135
Source: RNAcentral